ACCAAGUCUACGAUCUAUAGCUGGUUUUAGAGGAUGAUCAGCAACACUGGGACUGAGACACGGCCCAGACUCCUACGGGAGGCAGCAGUGGGGAAUCUUAGACAAUGGGCGCAAGCCUGAUCUAGCCAUGCCGCGUGUGUGAUGAAGGUCUUAGGAUCGUAAAGCACUUUCGCCAGGGAUGAUAAUGACAGUAC
RNAcentral lists this ribosomal RNA (194 nucleotides) under uncultured bacterium KC417. RNAcentral describes it as "partial 16S rRNA". It matches the Rfam family "Bacterial small subunit ribosomal RNA", at positions 267 to 478 of the family's 1533-position model. The record is from RNAcentral. Lineage: Bacteria; Pseudomonadati; Pseudomonadota; Alphaproteobacteria.